GGAUGGUCCCCCACACUGGUACUGAGACACGGACCAGACUCCUACGGGAGGCAGCAGUGAGGAAUAUUGGUCAAUGGGCGAAAGCCUGAACCAGCCAUGCCGCGUGAAGGAUGACAGCCCUAUGGGUUGUAAACUUCUUUUGUACGGGAAGAAACGCCUCUACGUGUAGAGGUUUGACGGUACCGUACGAAUAAGCAUCGGCUAACUCCGUGCCAGCAGCCGCGGUAAUACGGAGGAUGCAAGCGUUAUCCGGAUUUAUUGGGUUUACAGGGUACGUAGGCGGGAGCUUAAGUCAGUGGUGAAAUCCUGCAGCUUAACUGUAGAACUGUCAUUGAUACUGGGCUUCUUGAAUGUAGUUGAGGUAGGCGGAAUGUGUAAUGUAGCGGUGAAAUGCUUAGAUAGUACACAGAACACCGAUUGCGAAGGCAGCUUACUAAACUACGAUUGACGCUGAGGUACGAAAGCGUGGGGAGCGAACAGGAUUAGAUACCCUGGUAGUCCACGCUGUAAACGAUGAUCACUCGUUGUUGGCAAUACACCGUCAGCGACUGAGCGAAAGCAUUAAGUGAUCCACCUGGGGAGUACGACCGCAGGGUUGAAACUCAAAGGAAUUGACGGGGGCCCGCACAAGCGGAGGAACAUGUGGUUUAGUUCGAUGAUACGCGAGGAACCUUACCUGGGCUUAAAUGUAGAACGACGGACCGGGAAACUGGUCUUUCCUCGGACGGUCUGCAAGCUGCUGCAUGGCUGUCGUCAGCUCGUGCCGUGAGGUGUCGGGUUAAGUCCCAUAACGAGCGCAACCCUCAUCAUCAGUUGCCAGCGGGUAAUGCCGGGGACUCUAAUGAAACUGCCGGUGUAAACCGAGAGGAAGGUGGGGAUGACGUCAAGUCAGCACGGCCCUUAUGUCCAGGGCUGCACACGUGUUACAAUGGUCGGUACAAAGGGCAGCUACCUGCCGACAGGAUGCUAAUCUCGAAAACCGAUCUCAGUUCGGAUCGAAGUCUGCAACUCGACUUCGUGAAGCUGGAUUCGCUAGUAAUCGCGCAUCAGCCAUGGCGCGCUGAAUACGUUCC
Molecule: ribosomal RNA, 1073 nt
Filed under: uncultured organism
Description: bacterial SSU rRNA
Rfam family: Bacterial small subunit ribosomal RNA
Source: RNAcentral